Molecule: long non-coding RNA, 1476 nt
Organism: Panicum virgatum (switchgrass)
Lineage: Eukaryota; Viridiplantae; Streptophyta; Magnoliopsida; Poales; Poaceae
Exons: 2
Source: RefSeq, a predicted model, not a curated record
CCACUCCCCCCUCCGGCCAUGGCUUCCGCGCUUGGGUUCGAUUCAUUCCAUAGAUUCCACCGCCACUUCAGGAUAUCCGGAGCGCGUGCGCGGUUACUCGUGCGGGGAUCCAUCUGGGCGUGCCCGUGCCCGCGAGGUUCUAGCUUUCGACUCGGCACGGCACGCCGCUUCGUUUGUAUCGUUGCACGUCACCGUCGAGUCAUUAUUACUCAUUAGCCAAUCGCAUUACGUCUGUCACCGCUUAAGAUUAGCUUGCUUGCGACGCUGUUUUGACGGAUCGAAGGGAACGGGUGGGAUGAAAUAUAAAUACAAGAGCUGCCCCUUUGUGACAGUGGGUAUUUUGAAUAUAAGCCCCUGAAGUCCUUAAAUUUUCUGGUAUGUGUAUCCUUGAGGAUGUUGCGCAUAAUUGGACCCCCUUAACUGCCAAUUUGCACAUUUGGCCUUGUUUCGGCACUUGCUUCCUUUCUCGCCAAACAGGAGCUUAAAUAUCAUCACUCAGAAAGAGGGUUGCUGUUCUGGAGUACACACGAUUACGAAGAAGUUGGGUGUCACAUUGUCUACUUGUUGAUUCUUGUUUUGCGCACAAUUGAGCUGUUGAAUUCACAGUCUACUGACCAAACGAUAUAAAAAUAUUGUUAUGUAAAGCUUCAAAAUCCCUGCUAUGCUUCUGUUUCUCACCAUUAACACAAGUUGCCAAGCAUUCUACAUGAAUCAUUGUUCCACAUGAUACUGUUUAAGAUUUGACAUUACUACUACUCACAGGUCCUCAUUGUAUUGACGGAAAAUGUCAUGCUCAAAGAUUGUGUUGGCACAUGGCUGUAUAUUACAUGACCAUGGGUUGAAAAGCUAAAGCCAUCAUAAAACAGAUGAAGAAAUGACAUAAGGAAUGGUAAACUUCAACCCUGAGGUGUCAGCACACACAGCCAAGCCUCCAACAGCUUUAGUUGAUGUGAAGAGGAGUGUCAUACUGUCAAUUAUCUACUGCAACAUUAUUGCCCAUCAUGUCCAGAGCCCUUUGCCUUAUUAUGUUGCUUGUAUCGUUCCAGUUUUUUUGCAUUCCUAAAUUUAAACAAUUGUUGUAAAUGCUAAGCAGAUGGUUACAUGUGGCAAAUAAUAUUCUUGCAAGAAGAAAACCUCAGCCAAGCUGGCCGAGGAAACCCCUGAACCCUGUGUGUUAGCAACCACUGCAACUACCCCCUGGUAGGAGGGCCCAAACCAACCACAGAUGCCACAGGCUGGCACCUUGCCACUAUUUUUUGGGUUGCCAGCGAUUUUUUUUUUGCCACCAGGACUUGAACCCUGGUUGGUGUCUUCCUCAACUGGGAAGCUUCCCACUACAUUACAGGAGUGUUGGCAGUUGAUUCCAUUCAGUUUGCUUGUUUUUUUUUAAAAAAAAGUUAAAAUGCAAACAUGGGAAAUUUAUGGUUUGUUAAUCAAUUUACAUUAAACUGUGAGCACCAUACUUAUUGAAGGAAU